GCCGCACGCAAAGUCGUAGAAGUCAUCGCAAGGGUCCACUUUGUCGUCCAUAUUUUGCAGCAGUUUUGAUGCUACAAAGUUAAAGCGCAAGAUUAUAAAAACAAAAAAGAUGAAGCUGUCUAUGAAAUUGUAUAUUAAUAAUUAACACACACACCAAUAACAAAAAUUACCUGUAUGAACACAUCCAGCGGUAUUGCAUACCCUUAUACUGUUCUGAUCUGAUCCCUUCGCGAUGACAGCAGGUGGCAUGGAUGAUGAAACCUUGAGUUCGCUUGUCUGUGGCAUGUCUAAAAUGGAUGAAACACAUGCUCGGCUUAUGCUUUUCUGGAGCGGGAUAUCUCGAUAUUGUUAAGAGUAGGUACUCCAUGAAAGGUUAUUGUUGUAACGAUUGAAUACCUAAUAUAGAUAUUAGAAAAUCCUAUAGUGAAUGGAGAAAUAUACAAGCACAGUGUAACAAGACUUUAAGUUCCAUUGAAGAUCGCCAUUUAAUUUCAAGAAAUCGGUCCCCACCGUUCACGCCGAUUGGUUAUUGCACCGAUGUGUAAAUUUCAAUCAUAUUCCCUAAUGCCACCACGUUCUUAGGAGUAAAUAAGUAUUGAAGAAAUACGCAUGGGCGAAUCAAGGUCAACGAGGAUCAAUAACUUAAUAGAUAUCAACUUAGGUGUUGCAGAUAAUUAAGAAGGUACUAUAGUUAAGUUUAAUUUAAUAAUCUCAUUAAAAUGUUUAAGCAACUAAGGAUACAUGAAUGUACGUCUGAAGAUAAAAUAUGCAGGCAUAGACCCAAUCUGAUCACAGUGCAAGUAAUAAUGCAACCCUCAAGAAAACCUUUAUGGUACUUCUUCACUUGUGCCAUGUUCCCGUACCACAUGAACACUGUUCGCGUAUUGCAGUCACGCUGUGUUGGCCGACAUUUGGUGAUCGUUACGUAAACCGCUUCAGAGCUCGUGAAGCGGUUUCGAUUAGAAAAUGGCAAAGUGCAAGUUCAGUUAAUUUAUCAACACAGUCACCGGUGUUAAGUUUGUAUCGUUCAGAUCGAGAGAGAAUUCAGAAAUCUAAAGCAUUCCAACACUUCGAGUAACAAUGUUUGAAUGUGCGGUCGAGAUGGGACAUAACCGCGAAUCGCAUGCCAUUCGAUCAGGAACGGACUGUGAAUUCGGAAGCUUUUGGGCUAAAAUUAGGUAUAAUACUUCCCUUGAUAUGAAUCCAAUAAAGUUGAAACCAAAGUCAGUAUGAUUUUGAAAUUAUCAUUCAACAUUAUCCUCAAAAUAGUUGAAGGUCGCUGUUAAAUCCGUGGGUCCGAUAUAGCCUCUGAAUUGAAAAGGAAGGUACGUACUGACACAAUUCAGCGUUGCGAAACUACGGUGCACAGCUAUAAAACAAUGCCUGGUUUACUCUAUAACUGAUAGUUAUACAGCGAGGUUAACAUUUAAGUAGGUACAUAAUCAUGGUUGAUUUUCAAAGACAUCGAUGAGAAGCCCUGAGUCUCAGAAAUCAGUAUUGUAUAGAAUAAUUUAAAUAAAGGAUUCUUAUUCUAAUUAGGUACUACAAUCGUUAAAAAAAUACAUUGGAGUUACAUAUUUUUUGUUUAAGGUGAGAACAUGGAAACUCGCGAACACGAAAUGAACCUUUCGUUGAGAAUGAGUAUAAAGUGAUGCCAAAUUGAUGUAAUGACAUGAUUUAGACUUUCUUCGUGCUUAUUGCUCCAUGUAAAAUUAUGUAAUUUGAAAAGCAUGUAAACAAUAUAUUUUGUAAUGAAAGCGGCAUUCUGUAUAUUCCACAUUUUAAUUCGAUUAUGCCAAGCAGCAUCCAAACAAAAGCUCUUGAACGCAAUAUUUCAUUCAUAUGGAUGAAUCUGAUAAAAAAUGGGUUUACCAUACACAAUGUUAUAUAUUUCAAACAGAAAAUAAAUGGCUUAUUUUCCUUAGUUUAAAAAAAGCUGCUGAAAAACAUACGUAACUUGCUUCAUAAUCCAUAAGAAAAUAUUUAAGUGAUUUAUUUUUGGAAAUAAAAAUAUAUUGGAUUAAUUUGGACUUGCCAUG
Amyelois transitella is the source of this 2039-nucleotide long non-coding RNA. RefSeq lists it as uncharacterized. NCBI's taxonomy places the organism in Eukaryota, Metazoa, Arthropoda, Insecta, Lepidoptera, Pyralidae. The record is from RefSeq and is a predicted model, not a curated record. The transcript has 4 exons.